CGUCCGCUGCAACAGCAUCGCGCACUAGGAAGUCAAUAGUUCGGGAAAACUUCACCCUCAACAUGGCCCGAAAAAAACUACCUGCAUUAUGUGUACGGCGGACCCGCUGUACACUGGUCCGCUCGUCAGACCCGCGUACAGCCGGGCAGGACGCACCCGCUUUACGCUGGUCUGCUCGGCUGACACGCGCAUUUGAGGAGGAGGUUUGACAUCGUAACGUAAACGAUGCGGACUCGCCUCGAGGAAGUCACCUGAUGAAGGGAUGUGACCUCACGACCUCUGACACAACUUGUUUACUGACAAACAGCUGGAACUCUGUCUGAAGACGUCCUGAAGUGUCUGUGAUCCAGUUUAAUGAGGAAUGUUACAUAUUAUAUCUUUAUGUGUAAUUUGUGAUAUAUCUCCUUCAUAAACACAAAUUCGUAUUUCUGUUUGUAAUAUUUAUAAAAUACUAUUACGUGAA
This is a long non-coding RNA of Pleuronectes platessa (European plaice), 463 nucleotides long. RefSeq lists it as uncharacterized. Lineage: Eukaryota; Metazoa; Chordata; Actinopteri; Pleuronectiformes; Pleuronectidae. The record is from RefSeq and is a predicted model, not a curated record. The transcript has 2 exons.